This 460-nucleotide ribosomal RNA is filed under the name uncultured bacterium. RNAcentral describes it as "partial 16S ribosomal RNA". It matches the Rfam family "Bacterial small subunit ribosomal RNA", at positions 338 to 795 of the family's 1533-position model. The record is from RNAcentral.
CCUACGGGCGGCAGCAGUGAGGAAUAUUGGUCAAUGGACGAGAGUCUGAACCAGCCAAGUCGCGUGAAGGAUGACUGCCCUAUGGGUUGUAAACUUCUUUUAUAUGGGAAUAAAACGUUCCACGUGUGGGAUUUUGUAUGUACCAUAUGAAUAAGGAUCGGCUAACUCCGUGCCAGCAGCCGCGGUAAUACGGAGGAUCCGAGCGUUAUCCGGAUUUAUUGGGUUCAAAGGGAGCGUAGGUGGAUUGUUAAGUCAGUUGUGAAAGUUUGCGGCUCAACCGUAAAAUUGCAGUUGAAACUGGCAGUCUUGAGUACAGUAGAGGUGGGCGGAAUGCGUGGUGUAGCGGUGAAAUGCUUAGAUAUCACGAAGAACUCCGAUUGCGAAGACAGUUCACUGGACUGCAACUGACACUGAGGCUCGAAAGUGUGGGUAUCAAACAGGAUUAGAUACCCCUGUAGUC